GCCAGGCAUGGUGGUGCAUGCCUGUAGUCCCAGCUACUUGGGAGGCUGGGGUGGGAGGAUCGCCUGAGUCCAGGAGUUUUGGGCUGUUGUGUGCUAUGCCGAUUGGGUGUCCGCACUAAUUUCAGUGUCAAUAUGAUGACCUCCUGGGAGCGGGGGACUACUAGGUUGCCUAAGGAGGGGUGAACCGGUCCAGGUUGGAAAUGGGGCAGGUCAAAACUCCCAUGCUGAUCAGUAGUGGGAUCGCGCCUGUGAAUAGCCACUGCACUCCAGCCUGGGCAACAUAGAGACCCUGUCUCU
RNAcentral lists this signal recognition particle RNA (297 nucleotides) under Cebus imitator (Panamanian white-faced capuchin). Its description in RNAcentral is "Metazoan signal recognition particle RNA (ENSCCAG00000004399.1)". It matches the Rfam family "Metazoan signal recognition particle RNA". Rfam says of the family: The signal recognition particle (SRP) is a universally conserved ribonucleoprotein. Lineage: Eukaryota; Metazoa; Chordata; Mammalia; Primates; Cebidae. The record is from RNAcentral.